GCGGGUGUGGCGAAAUUGGCAGACGCGUCAGACUUAGGAUCUGAUGCCGAAAGGCGUGGGGGUUCGAGUCCCUUCAUCCGCA
RNAcentral lists this transfer RNA (82 nucleotides) under Candidatus Limimorpha avicola. RNAcentral's name for it is "tRNA-Leu". It matches the Rfam family "tRNA". From Rfam's summary of the family: Transfer RNA (tRNA) molecules are approximately 80 nucleotides in length. Their secondary structure includes four short double-helical elements and three loops (D, anti-codon, and T loops). Further hydrogen bonds mediate the characteristic L-shaped molecular structure. tRNAs have two regions of fundamental functional importance: the anti-codon, which is responsible for specific mRNA codon recognition, and the 3' end, to which the tRNAs corresponding amino acid is attached (by aminoacyl-tRNA synthetases). tRNAs cope with the degeneracy of the genetic code in two manners: having more than one tRNA (with a specific anti-codon) for a particular amino acid; and 'wobble' base-pairing, i.e. permitting non-standard base-pairing at the 3rd anti-codon position. The record is from RNAcentral. Lineage: Bacteria; Pseudomonadati; Bacteroidota; Bacteroidia; Bacteroidales.